GAGCUCCUCUGGGAGCUGGGCUCCCCUGCAGCCCCCCUCCCCGCAGGGCCUCCUCCCAGAGAAGGAAGUGCCCAGCCCAGCCAUGCGCCGCAAGGCUCCAGGGAACACUGGGGGAUUGUGCAGCCCGAGCCCCUUGGUCACCAUGGGGCUGCCGGGGAGGAAGUGCUUGUUCUGAGUUGCUGGCUGGCCGGGCUGGGCCCUCAGACUUUCCGUCCUGCCCAUCACACUCCCAGCCAUUCCCCGGGGAGGGCAGCGGCCUCACCACCAGAGCUUCCAGAGCAGCCCUCACGAAGCAGGGAUGGAAGCUCCAGGACUCAGGACCCUCCAAGACCUUGCCCUCUGUGUCUAUCAAACUGCUUGUUCAUCUGCAUCCCUCCUUGUCACAUGGCUUCAAAGUCAGGGACAUCUGGUCUCCAUGGGCCCCGAGUGGGGAAGGAAGAGGCACCUGGAGGGUCUUGUCUGAAAGUGGCUGACAUCACCCUGCCACAUCACUGCCUGAACUCAUCGGGGGAAUACAGCCCCUCCCCAGGAGGAGGAAGCGCACAGAGGUGCGUCCUUUACCGCUCAGCCAUUAAAUCCAUGGAGUCAGUCAUCACAUUUCGGGAGGGGCCCCUAACGUGUGCCAGGCAUUAUGCUGAAUGUAGAGCUACAGAGACGUCCGUGUCCUCGUUGAAGUUCAGAUGUGUGUCAACGUACAAACUGGUGCAGCGUUACAGUCCUGCGGGGGCAGCAGAGAGGCAUCACGCCCAGCCUGGGCGAGGGGCGGGCAGUCUUGAGCAAGCAAGCAGUCCACACCAACUCUGAAAAACCGUGUUUGCUGACAUAUACACGCUUGUGUUUUUGAGAAAUGUAACUGAUGUAAAGGAUGGGUUACACACGAUUUACAAACAAUGCUUAAAAUACACAAUACAGGCUCACCUCAGGGAUAUCAAGAGCUUGGUUCUAGAUGCCAAAAUAAAGCACAUAUGGCACUAAAGUGAAUCACGUGGUUUUUUUGGUUUCCUGGUACAUAUAAAACUUAUGC
Bubalus bubalis (water buffalo) is the source of this 1024-nucleotide long non-coding RNA. RefSeq lists it as uncharacterized. NCBI's taxonomy places the organism in Eukaryota, Metazoa, Chordata, Mammalia, Artiodactyla, Bovidae. The record is from RefSeq and is a predicted model, not a curated record. The transcript is spliced from 3 exons.